Lepus europaeus (European hare) is the source of this 475-nucleotide long non-coding RNA. RefSeq lists it as uncharacterized. The transcript is spliced from 3 exons. Lineage: Eukaryota; Metazoa; Chordata; Mammalia; Lagomorpha; Leporidae. The record is from RefSeq and is a predicted model, not a curated record.
UUCUCUGCUGAACCCAGGCCACAGUUGGAAUUCCUGCCCAGCUCCCACCUGUUGCUGCCUGAGUCCACACCUGGCCAAUCCUGUACACUGUGAUGUCAGAGUCCUUGGCCUUCAGGGUGGGGUCUUGUUCUCCACUGCCAAUUCAGGUGCACACUGGUAUGGACACUCUCAGCUCUGCCUCCAUGCACAUCACUAAUGACUAGAACAUCCCUGCUGUGUCACAGAUCCAUAGACCCUCCUUCCUGUGCAGGAGCAACCAAGCAGGUCCAGGAGGUCAGCCUUUGUGUUAGCCCCAGAGCAACGAGAUGGGACCGUACUUGUCCAGGGGAGAUCCAUCUGGUAGUCAACUCCAUCCAACCAUGCCAAGCUGUCCAGGGAGGGGAGAGGCCAGCACGGGGGCAGACACUGCAGGAUCCGGCUCAGGCUGAGGUGGCAACUCCGACUCCGGCUGCGACGCAGACUCCUGCUUCGACCG